CUUGGUCAUUUAGAGGAAGUAAAAGUCGUAACAAGGUUUCCGUAGGUGAACCUGCGGAAGGAUCAUUAAUGAAUUUUUAGGGCGCUCUUUUUAGAGGUCCGACCAAUUUCAUUUCCACACACCGUGAACACACUUCAUUUUUACACACAAUUUAUAAACACACAAGUCUAUAAGAAUGUAUAAAGUCUCUUAAUUGAGCAUAAAGUUAUAAUACAACUUUCGGCAACGGAUCUCUUGGCUCUCGCAUCGAUGAAGAACGCAGCGAAAUGCGAUACGUAAUGUGAAUUGCAGAAUUCAGUGAAUCAUCGAAUCUUUGAACGCACCUUGCACUCUUUGGUAUUCCGAAGGGCAUGCCUGUUCGAGCGUCAUGGUCAAACCUCAAGCCUAGCUUGGUAUUGGGUUGUCGCCUUGCCUGCCUGUGUACAGGUAGUGGCGUGCCUGAAAGUCAGUGGCAGUGCCUAAAUAGACUCAAGCGUAGCAGACUGGACUCGCUUUGGAGAAUCUUUGUAGGCUCUGUUGACAAAUUAUAAAUCAUGUUUGGACCUCGGAUCAGGUAGGGAUACCCGCUGAACUUAAGCAUAUCAAUAAGCGGAGGA
Molecule: ribosomal RNA, 596 nt
Filed under: uncultured fungus
Lineage: Eukaryota; Fungi
Description: eukaryotic LSU rRNA
Rfam family: 5.8S ribosomal RNA (bases 215-368)
Source: RNAcentral